Molecule: long non-coding RNA, 222 nt
Filed under: Vulpes vulpes (red fox)
Lineage: Eukaryota; Metazoa; Chordata; Mammalia; Carnivora; Canidae
Description: lncRNA (ENSVVUG00000025480.1)
Source: RNAcentral
AUGUAUCUGCUAUCAGCGCCUACUGUUUCCCUACCGCUAUGCUCAGCUACAGCAAGAGUUGGCUGCUACAGGAGCACAGCUGCCCCUUUCUCCACAGAAAUGCUUACAGAAGCUGCCCCUGCAGAAAAGGACUUCACGUCUGAACACUGCACAGGCAUCAGUUCUCAAUUUCCCACAGAUACAAUGAAGCAUAGUGACGGGGUAGCCCACACAGGUACCUGA